AUGAACGCUGGCGGCGUGCUUAACACAUGCAAGUCGAACGGAAAGGCUCCUGCUUGCAGGGGUACUCGAGUGGCGAACGGGUGAGUAACACGUGGGUGAUCUGCCCUGCACUUCGGGAUAAGCCUGGGAAACUGGGUCUAAUACCGGAUAGGACGAUGGUUUGGAUGCCAUUGUGGAAAGUUUUUCGGUGUGGGAUGAGCUCGCGGCCUAUCAGCUUGUUGGUGGGGUAAUGGCCUACCAAGGCGUCGACGGGUAGCCGGCCUGAGAGGGUGUACGGCCACAUUGGGACUGAGAUACGGCCCAGACUCCUACGGGAGGCAGCGGUGGGGAAUAUUGCACAAUGGGCGCAAGCCUGAUGCAGCGACGCCGCGUGGGGGAUGACGGCCUUCGGGUUGUAAACUCCUUUCGCUAGGGACGAAGCGUUUUGUGACGGUACCUGGAGAAGAAGCACCGGCUAACUACGUG
Molecule: ribosomal RNA, 465 nt
Filed under: uncultured bacterium
Lineage: Bacteria
Description: partial 16S ribosomal RNA
Rfam family: Bacterial small subunit ribosomal RNA
Source: RNAcentral